This 419-nucleotide long non-coding RNA is filed under the name Struthio camelus australis. RNAcentral describes it as "lncRNA (ENSSCUG00000012008.1)". Lineage: Eukaryota; Metazoa; Chordata; Aves; Struthioniformes; Struthionidae. The record is from RNAcentral.
AGAAACACACUCCAUGUAAGAGGAAGCGUAGCUGUACUGUCGGUGUAAGGCGCAGCAGCGCUUCGCGGCGGCUGGCGGCCCUCAUUAGCGUUCAUCCCAAGCACCGUCACAAAAGAGGUGCUUAACAGAAGCUAGUCCGUGCAAAAUAAAGCCUCUAGUAAUUGCCUCACAUGAAGUGAAGUACUAAGGCAGUGCUGAGUGAUGCAGAGACAGGGCUGCUGGGCUGCUUUCAGGAAGACCUAUUAUUCAGGUAUUCACAGAAGGCAUUCUGGGUCAGCACGGUGUUUGCAAAGAGUAGAUGCGGCAUGAAAAUACAAGGGAUGCGAUUGGAAGUGAUCCUGUUCUUCAAGCAUAAGUAACACUCCAGCACCAGCUUGGUACUGCACAGUGUCCCCUCUCAUCUGGCCUCGCACAGCCUG